Molecule: ribosomal RNA, 405 nt
Filed under: uncultured bacterium
Lineage: Bacteria
Description: partial 16S ribosomal RNA
Rfam family: Bacterial small subunit ribosomal RNA
Source: RNAcentral
GAUGAACGCUGGCGGCGUGCCUAAUACAUGCAAGUCGAGCGAAGCGGGGACGGGUGAGUAACACGUGGAUAACCUCCUAUAAGACUGGGAUAAAUUCGGGAAACCGGGGCUAAAACGGAUAUUUAUUGAUAGAUCCGUGCUGCAUUAGCUAGUUGGUAAGGUAACGGCUUACCAAGGCCACGAUGCAUAGCCGACCUGAGAGGGUGAUCGGCCACACUGGAACUGAGACACGGUCCAGACUCCUACGGGAGGCAGCAGUGGGGAAUCUUCCGCAAUGGGCGAAAGCCUGACGGAGCAACGCCGCGUGGAUGAUGAAGGUCUUCGGAUCGUAAAACUCUGUUAUUAGGGAAGCGGUACCUAAUCAAAAAGCCACGGCUAACUACGUGCCAGCAGCCGCGGUAAUUC